This is a non-coding RNA of Cinara cedri, 223 nucleotides long. Lineage: Eukaryota; Metazoa; Arthropoda; Insecta; Hemiptera; Aphididae. The record is from the annotation of a GenBank genome assembly.
AAUCGUGUUAGCAGACCCUAGUUUUAGGUUUCUAAACAUGAGUUUAGAGAUUACCUCGCACCCCCGUUGUGUCUGUCCGUGCGUCAGUGGCGGAUAUCCGGUGUGAGGGCAAUUGGUAGAUCGUUCCCGCUCUCGGCGUUUUCGUCUUCGCCGUAUUACAUUACGUUACCUUCGACUUAAAACUUAAGAAACUGAAUUCCGUGGAUUUUAAACUCGCCCCCCC